UAAACUACUAUUUCCUAUACUUUUCCUAAAAUAAGUUGUCCUAAUAGUCCUAAAAUCUUUAGGAUUUCCUAUAUCAGUUGGAGGGUGCAGCUAUAGUGGUCCUAGUCCUAAGCAUUCAAAAGAAAAGGGAAUAAGAUUCAUAGAGGAUUAUGAAAAUUUGGGAAGAUAUUGAAAAUCUUUAUUAGCUAUAAGUGGAGAAAAUCUUGUAUUUAUUAAGGACAUGAUUAGAAGUAAAAAUUUCCUAAUGAUGGGGUGUGGAAGGAGUGGUUUGGUUAUGUUAAGAAUUAUGUUGGAAACUUAUAUGUUUGCAAAUCAGAGGAGAGAAUUGUAAAUAAAAACUUGUAUAUUUCCAUCAUUAAAAUAAAUGUUUACAUCCACAUGCAUGUAAACUAUGAUAUAUAUGAAGUAUUCAUUUUGAGAAGUUUGGAGAGAAUUAGAAACAAGGAUUUAAAUUGUGAUCAUGGGUAACUGAAAUAGGCCUAUGAUGGGCCGUAAUGUAACGGUAACAA
Molecule: unclassified non-coding RNA, 509 nt
Filed under: Hevea brasiliensis (rubber tree)
Lineage: Eukaryota; Viridiplantae; Streptophyta; Magnoliopsida; Malpighiales; Euphorbiaceae
Source: RNAcentral